CGGGUGAGUAACACGUGAGUAACCUGCCCUUGACUCUGGGAUAAGCCUGGGAAACCGGGUCUAAUACUGGAUACGACCUUCCCGCGCAUGCGGUGUUGGUGGAAAGCUUUUGUGGUUUUGGAUGGACUCGCGGCCUAUCAGCUUGUUGGUGGGGUAAUGGCCUACCAAGGCGACGACGGGUAGCCGGCCUGAGAGGGUGACCGGCCACACUGGGACUGAGACACGGCCCAGACUCCUACGGGAGGCAGCAGUGGGGAAUAUUGCACAAUGGGCGCAAGCCUGAUGCAGCGACGCCGCGUGAGGGAUGAAGGCCUUCGGGUUGUAAACCUCUUUCAGUAGGGAAGAAGCUGAUCUUUCGGGGUUGGUGACGGUACCUGCAGAAGAAGCGCCGGCUAACUACGUGCCAGCAGCCGCGGUAAUACGUAGGGCGCAAGCGUUAUCCGGAAUUAUUGGGCGUAAAGAGCUCGUAGGCGGUUUGUCGCGUCUGCCGUGAAAGUCCGGGGCUUAACCCCGGAUCUGCGGUGGGUACGGGCAGACUAGAGUGCAGUAGGGGAGACUGGAAUUCCUGGUGUAGCGGUGAAAUGCGCAGAUAUCAGGAGGAACACCGAUGGCGAAGGCAGGUCUCUGGGCUGUAACUGACGCUGAGGAGCGAAAGCAUGGGGAGCGAACAGGAUUAGAUACCCUGGUAGUCCAUGCCGUAAACG
Molecule: ribosomal RNA, 704 nt
Filed under: Arthrobacter sp. PE-R2A-70
Lineage: Bacteria; Bacillati; Actinomycetota; Actinomycetes; Micrococcales; Micrococcaceae
Description: bacterial SSU rRNA
Rfam family: Bacterial small subunit ribosomal RNA
Source: RNAcentral